RNAcentral lists this transfer RNA (70 nucleotides) under Paracoccus denitrificans. Its description in RNAcentral is "tRNA-Arg". Lineage: Bacteria; Pseudomonadati; Pseudomonadota; Alphaproteobacteria; Rhodobacterales; Paracoccaceae. The record is from RNAcentral.
AUGAUCGUUGCGGGGCAACGCCUGCCAGUCCUGAUUGCGACCCGACCGGUGGACUUCCGCUGCGGUCAUC